This is a non-coding RNA of Paramuricea clavata, 813 nucleotides long. Lineage: Eukaryota; Metazoa; Cnidaria; Anthozoa; Malacalcyonacea; Plexauridae. The record is from the annotation of a GenBank genome assembly.
CACGAGUCCCAAUAAGUAGAUUUUAAACUUCUGACGUUUUGGUAAAACACACUUAAUGGUCGACAUAAAUUACUUUUGCAGUUCGAUUUGCAGGGCCUGGAUUCGUUGCGAUAUCACCACUCAGUAACAUAUAAAGCAGUAGAUGCGAGUUUUUACGGUUUAUAUUGAAUUCUACGAGAUGAUAACGUUUGGUAGGCAUGUAGAACUUUCUUUGUAUCACAUCUCGGUUCUAGUGAACUUAUGGGAACGUUUCCAGGAAUUAGUUUUCUUUUGUUUUCUCGAACAAACGAACUAUAGACUUUGAUUUCAAAGAUAGCCAAAAAAGUGCAGAUAAAUUAAAGUUUCCAGAACGCAUCCGAACGCGAGAACACGUCGUGGACAUGUGUAGGGUUUUGAUUAGUGUACCCACCUCGCCAGAUCGCACAUUAGGAGACGUUGAAACCCCGGAGAGAACAAAAUAUAUGCCAUGGACAACGUCAGGCUUUGGUGCAUUUGAACUCGCUAAAAUGCCGUAUCAAUACGGAUCCGUUUAAAUUCAAACGAACGAGCGGCAAAAUACAAUUAAGUGCCAGUGAAGCUCAACAAGUAAUAUAACAGUUAUGACUUUAAAAACCUGUACCUAAGAAAAUGUGUGCAAAAUACGAACACAUGCCAUGAGCAUUCCUGCAUGAACGUUAUCAAUUAGAAUUAUGGAGAAUAUCUGCUUGGAAAAUUUGCGGUUGUCGCAAGGCAGUCAAGGCGGUAUGUAAUAUACAUGUAUAUAUUAAAUGCCGUUGUAACAAAUUGUGCGUGAUACCGAAGAAAACUUAAAGG